CCUACGGGAGGCUGCAGUGAGGAAUAUUGGUCAAUGGCCGUAAGGCUGAACCAGCCAAGUCGCGUGAAGGAAGAAGGAUCUAUGGUUUGUAAACUUCUUUUAUAGGGGAAUAAAGGUAUCCACGUGUGGCUAUUUGCAUGUACCCUAUGAAUAAGCAUCGGCUAACUCCGUGCCAGCAGCCGCGGUAAUACGGAGGAUGCGAGCUUUAGCCGGAUUUAUUGGGUUUAAAGGGUGCGUAGGUUGUUUUUUAAGUCAGCGGUGAAAGUUUGUGGCUCAACCAUAAAAUUGCCGUUGAAACUGGAAGACUUGAGUGUGUUUGAGGUAGGCGGAAUGCGUGGUGUAGCGGUGAAAUGCAUAGAUAUCACGCAGAACUCCGAUUGCGAAGGCAGCUUACUAAGCCAUAACUGACACUGAAGCACGAAAGCGUGGGGAUCAAACAGGAUUAGAUACCCCUGUAGUC
This 460-nucleotide ribosomal RNA is filed under the name uncultured bacterium. RNAcentral's name for it is "partial 16S ribosomal RNA". It matches the Rfam family "Bacterial small subunit ribosomal RNA", at positions 338 to 795 of the family's 1533-position model. The record is from RNAcentral.